Schistocerca cancellata (South American locust) is the source of this 73-nucleotide non-coding RNA. The record is from the annotation of a RefSeq genome assembly. NCBI's taxonomy places the organism in Eukaryota, Metazoa, Arthropoda, Insecta, Orthoptera, Acrididae.
GUCCGGAUGGCGCAGUGGUCAGCGCAACUGCAUUAUAAGCAGGAAACCAGGGUUCGAUUCCCGGUCUGGCACU